RNAcentral lists this ribosomal RNA (1218 nucleotides) under uncultured bacterium. Its description in RNAcentral is "bacterial SSU rRNA". It matches the Rfam family "Bacterial small subunit ribosomal RNA", at positions 102 to 1315 of the family's 1533-position model. The record is from RNAcentral.
ACGGGUGAGUAAUGCUUAGGAAUCUGCCCAGUAGUGGGGGACAACAGUCGGAAACGGCUGCUAAUACCGCAUACGCCCUACGGGGGAAAGCAGGGGAUCUUCGGACCUUGCGCUAUUGGAUGAGCCUAAGUCGGAUUAGCUAGUUGGUAGGGUAAAGGCCUACCAAGGCGACGAUCCGUAGCUGGUCUGAGAGGAUGAUCAGCCACAUCGGGACUGAGACACGGCCCGAACUCCUACGGGAGGCAGCAGUGGGGAAUAUUGGACAAUGGGGGCAACCCUGAUCCAGCCAUGCCGCGUGUGUGAAGAAGGCUUUCGGGUUGUAAAGCACUUUCAGCGAGGAGGAAGGCCUUAAAGUUAAUACCUUUAAAGGAUUGACGUUACUCGCAGAAGAAGCACCGGCUAACUCCGUGCCAGCAGCCGCGGUAAUACGGAGGUGCAAGCGUUAAUCGGAAUUACUGGGCGUAAAGCGCGGCGUAGGUGGUUUGGUAAGCGAGAUGUGAAAGCCCCGGGCUUAACCUGGGAACGGCAUUUCGAACUGUCAGACUAGAGUGUGGUAGAGGGUAGUGGAAUUUCCUGUGUAGCGGUGAAAUGCGUAGAUAUAGGAAGGAACACCAGUGGCGAAGGCGGCUACCUGGACCAACACUGACACUGAGGUGCGAAAGCGUGGGGAGCAAACAGGAUUAGAUACCCUGGUAGUCCACGCCGUAAACGAUGUCAACUAGCCGUUGGGACUCUUGAAGUCUUAGUGGCGCAGCUAACGCACUAAGUUGACCGCCUGGGGAGUACGGCCGCAAGGUUAAAACUCAAAUGAAUUGACGGGGGCCCGCACAAGCGGUGGAGCAUGUGGUUUAAUUCGACGCAACGCGAAGAACCUUACCUGGCCUUGACAUCCAGAGAGCUUUCCAGAGAUGGAUUGGUGCCUUCGGGAACUCUGAGACAGGUGCUGCAUGGCCGUCGUCAGCUCGUGUCGUGAGAUGUUGGGUUAAGUCCCGUAACGAGCGCAACCCCUAUCCUUGGUUGCUAGCAGGUAAUGCUGAGAACUCCAGGGAGACUGCCGGUGACAAACCGGAGGAAGGUGGGGAUGACGUCAGGUCAUCAUGGCCCUUACGGCCAGGGCUACACACGUGCUACAAUGGCGCGUACAGAGGGCUGCCAACUCGCGAGAGUGAGCCAAUCCCUUAAAGCGCGUCGUAGUCCGGAUCGGAGUCUGCAACUCGA